UGGGGAAUAUUGCGCAAUGGGGGAAACCCUGACGCAGCGACGCCGCGUGCGGGAUGAAGGCCUUCGGGUUGUAAACCGCUUUUGAUUGGGAGCAAGCUUUCGGGUGAGUGUACCUUUCGAAUAAGCGCCGGCUAACUACGUGCCAGCAGCCGCGGUAAUACGUAGGGCGCAAGCGUUAUCCGGAAUUAUUGGGCGUAAAGAGCUUGUAGGCGGUUCGUCGCGUCUGGUGUGAAAGCCCAUCGCUUAACGGUGGGUUUGCGCCGGGUACGGGCGGGCUAGAGUGCAGUAGGGGAGACUGGAAUUCCCGGUGUAACGGUGGAAUGUGUAGAUAUCGGGAAGAACACCAAUGGCGAACGCAGGUCUCUGGGCUGUUACUGACGCUGAGAAGCGAAAGCGUGGGGAGCGAACAGG
RNAcentral lists this ribosomal RNA (411 nucleotides) under Verrucomicrobiota bacterium. RNAcentral describes it as "Verrucomicrobia bacterium partial 16S ribosomal RNA". It matches the Rfam family "Bacterial small subunit ribosomal RNA", at positions 355 to 776 of the family's 1533-position model. The record is from RNAcentral. Lineage: Bacteria; Pseudomonadati; Verrucomicrobiota.